GACCAGACUCCUACGGGAGGCAGCAGUGGGGAAUAUUGCACAAUGGGGGAAACCCUGAUGCAGCGACGCCGCGUGAGUGAAGAGGUAUUUCGGUAUGUAAAGCUCUAUCAGCAGGGAAGAAAAUGACGGUACCUGACUAAGAAGCCCCGGCUAACUACGUGCCAGCAGCCGCGGUAAUACGUAGGGGGCAAGCGUUAUCCGGAUUUACUGGGUGUAAAGGGAGCGUAGACGGCAUGGCAAGUCAGAUGUGAAAGCCCGGGGCUCAACCCCGGGACUGCAUUUGAAACUGUCAGGCUGGAGUGCAGGAGAGGUAAGUGGAAUUCCUAGUGUAGCGGUGAAAUGCGUAGAUAUUAGGAGGAACACCAGUGGCGAAGGCGGCUUACUGGACUGUAACUGACGUUGAGGCUCGAAAGCGUGGGGAGCAAACAGGAUUAGAUACCCGCGUA
This 446-nucleotide ribosomal RNA is filed under the name uncultured bacterium. Its description in RNAcentral is "bacterial SSU rRNA". It matches the Rfam family "Bacterial small subunit ribosomal RNA", at positions 329 to 792 of the family's 1533-position model. The record is from RNAcentral.